CUUUAUCAAAUAUCGAUGUAAAUCAUGCAUUUAAAUUUGAUGCUGAUUAGUUGAUUGUAAAAAAUCAGGAGGAAAUCAAAUUAAACCAAUCAUUACCAUAACUAAUUUGUGUAUUUAACUGUGGUUUAACAAGCUGGUUUCAUUUCCUAUUCAACAUUUUCAUUCUUCUUGGGUAACCAGAUAAAAAACCGAUCUCUUGUAAUGGCUAAAGGAGUUGCCGCUCUUUUGGUUAGCCUUUGUUUCAACUUCUGUGUUGCCGUUGUUUCUAGUGAUGUAGAUGAUAGUACAGUAAUAAUUAUCAUGACAACAAGGAAAGAAUCAUUCAUGUAAACACAUUCAUCUGACGUGACAUCAAAGUGACAAAAGAUUGACACAGCAAUUUUCCAACAAGUUUUACUUGUAUUUGUAAUGAGCAAGGUCAAAGUUUCCCUUUAUGGUUUGUUUUAUUCACCAUCAUCAUCAACAACAACAUCAUCGUUUUCAUCAUCAUCUUGUUCAAAUCAUUUUAAAACAAUCUUGAGUAGGAGAGCAAAUCAAAAGUGUUGAUAACGGAUAAAACUAUUUCUCUCUUCAUUGCCAGUUCUAUCAGCAUUAUUCAAUUGUUUACCUGAUGGUGGUUAGUAGCUGUUGCUACCUAUUUGCUUAUAGUUAGUCAAUGGGUUAACUAAGUCAAGGUUUGAUGUCAGCCUGUUGAAUGCUUUAAAUAUUAUAAUUUGAUAAGAGAUACAAGUUGAAAAGAAAUUAGCGUCAACAAGCCUCAGACGAUGAACAAAAAAAGCUGAUUUCUACUCUACAUGAUUGUUGAUAAACUCUUUCUUUUUUCACCUUUGCUGGUGGCUAAACUCGUCUUCUGUAAGAUGAUGAGUAGAAAAAUGUUUGCAACUCUUUGUUUGCUUUAACAUUUUUUCUUCUCUCCUCAACCAACUUUGAGGUACUGAAAGUGAUCACAGAUUAUAAUAAGGGUGAUGAUGAUGGUUAUUGCGAUGAUGAUAAUAAUGAUGGUGAUGGUGAUGGUGAUUGAUUGUCUAUUCCAAUUGAUAAAUUUUUAAAAUCAUCCAAGGAUGACCAAUUUUCAAGGAAAGAAGAGAAGAGCAAAGAUCAAUUUCCAAAUUAUAUAUAAUGAAGGAAAGGAGCAUUUCAAGGAUUACCUGGAAGAAAAGGUUAACAUACAUAAAAAAAGUGGAUGGAAAAGAUUGAUGAUGGUUUGACCAACAACCAAUGAUCCAAGCCUCAUCAUUAUCUUCUCAGCCCCUUUCCUACUCUUGAUAAUUCAACAGGCCAUUUCAUCAUCGUUUCAUUUUGCCGGAAUUAACAUAAAUUUUGAUUUAUACGUUGACACAUUAGAGAUUAAAAAACGAAACAUCAGUCCACUAGAAACGCAGUGGACAAGGAAUAUAAAGAAACAUUUGACCAUUUUCAGCUUAACAAGAGGUUACAAAAAUUACCAGAUUGAGUGAAGCUAAUUUAUAAUGAUUUGGAGAGACCAAAUGAAGUAGGUUUUGGAGGCAAUUUGAUGAAUCCAAUGGCUUUUGUACGAAAAUUUGAAACUCACACCACUUAUCCAUUUGGAUGUUAAUGAUGUUGAUGAUGGCUGGUAAUUCAACAGAUAAAAUCAAUCAAAUAUCAAGAUACAAAUCCAACCAGAAUCAUGAUAAAUUGAUUAACCAGUGCAUGGGUUACAUUGAUGAAUUUUUAAUCAGCAAAUCAUCGUGCUAAUUUAAGCUGAGGCUCUUCUACACUUUAAAUUGAUAUGAAAUUCACAACCCAUAAGUUAUUUAAGGGUAAAAUUAAAACAGAGGUUUUCAUUAAUAA
This is a long non-coding RNA of Tetranychus urticae (two-spotted spider mite), 1812 nucleotides long. RefSeq lists it as uncharacterized. Lineage: Eukaryota; Metazoa; Arthropoda; Arachnida; Trombidiformes; Tetranychidae. The record is from RefSeq and is a predicted model, not a curated record.